This 254-nucleotide ribosomal RNA is filed under the name uncultured bacterium. RNAcentral's name for it is "partial 16S ribosomal RNA". It matches the Rfam family "Bacterial small subunit ribosomal RNA", at positions 524 to 776 of the family's 1533-position model. The record is from RNAcentral.
GACGUAGGGCGCGAGCGUUGUCCGGGUUUAUUGGGCGUAAAGAGCUCGUAGGCGGCUUGUCGCGUCGACUGUGAAAACCCGUGGCUCAACCAUGUGGUCUGCAGUCGAUACGGGCAGGCUAGAAUUCGGUAGGGGAGACUGGAAUUCCUGGUGUAGCGGUGAAAUGCGCAGAUAUCAGGAGGAACACCGGUGGCGAAGGCGGGUCUCUGGGCCGAUAUUGACGCUGAGGAGCGAAAGCGUGGGGAGCGAACAGG